GGUCUUGUGACUAGCACUUCCUUCCUGUGGGGAGAGGUUUUGCAUCCUGGGGUUGGAGGAGAGAGGAGCUUGUUCAGCCCAGUCUGGAGUGGCAUGCUCUUCUUGGUUCAGCCCAAAGACACAGGCUUCUAAAGUGUGAGUGGUUUUAUCAGAAAACAGAGGUUUUUUACAGCUGUCGCAGAAGUCCCCAGGAAAUUCAACAUUCAACAGAAGGUAACUUUAGUAGGAAAGGAUCAAUGCCUAUGAGAGGAAGAAGGGCCUACGAAAGCCUUUUUCAAUGGCUUAAGUCCCAGGUUUUCCUCCAUGAAGAAUUUUCUGACCAGAUUAUCCCAGAAUGACAACUUCUUCUAACCUAGAAGACUUGAUGACUUGAUCAGGAGUUCUUAACCUGGGAUUAAAUUGUUUGUCCAGUACAUAGUAGGAGCUUAAUAAAUGUUCAUUGCAUU
This is a long non-coding RNA of Monodelphis domestica (gray short-tailed opossum), 446 nucleotides long. RefSeq lists it as uncharacterized. Lineage: Eukaryota; Metazoa; Chordata; Mammalia; Didelphimorphia; Didelphidae. The record is from RefSeq and is a predicted model, not a curated record.